AGCGAACGCUGGCGGCAGGCUUAACACAUGCAAGUCGAGCGGGCGUAGCAAUACGUCAGCGGCAGACGGGUGAGUAACACGUGGGAACGUACCUUUUGGUUCGGAACAACUGAGGGAAACUUCAGCUAAUACCGGAUAAGCCCUAACGGGGAAAGAUUUAUCGCCGAAAGAUCGGCCCGCGCCUGAUUAGCUAGUUGGCGAGGUAAUGGCUCACCAAGGCGACGAUCAGUAGCUGGUCUGAGAGGAUGAUCAGCCACACUGGGACUGAGACACGGCCCAGACUCCUACGGGAGGCAGCAGUGGGGAAUAUUGGACAAUGGGGGCAACCCUGAUCCAGCCAUGCCGCGUGAGUGAUGAAGGCCCUAGGGUUGUAAAGCUCUUUUGUGCGGGAAGAUAAUGACGGUACCGCAAGAAUAAGCCCCGGCUAACUUCGUGCCAGCCGCCGCCGUAA
RNAcentral lists this ribosomal RNA (451 nucleotides) under uncultured bacterium. Its description in RNAcentral is "partial 16S ribosomal RNA". It matches the Rfam family "Bacterial small subunit ribosomal RNA", at positions 29 to 523 of the family's 1533-position model. The record is from RNAcentral.